Molecule: non-coding RNA, 101 nt
Filed under: Clostridium argentinense
Lineage: Bacteria; Bacillati; Bacillota; Clostridia; Eubacteriales; Clostridiaceae
Also listed under: 1 other name
Description: TPP sequence
Rfam family: TPP riboswitch aptamer (THI element)
About the family: Vitamin B(1) in its active form thiamin pyrophosphate (TPP) is an essential coenzyme that is synthesised by coupling of pyrimidine and thiazole moieties in bacteria. The previously detected thiamin-regulatory element, thi box was extended, resulting in a new, highly conserved RNA secondary structure, the THI element, which is widely distributed in eubacteria and also occurs in some archaea.
Source: RNAcentral
CCUUAUUGCUAGGGGUGCCUUAUGGCUGAGAGGGCAGAUUUUGCCUAACCCUUGAACCUGAUGUGGUUAAUACCACCGUAGGGAAGCAGAAUAAAUGCACU